GUGUAUGCUUUAGUAACUUUAUUUCUCUUGUGUCUUCCUAUUAAUUACUGGAUCAGAGAUGAGGUGAACUAGUCAAUAAAAUGUUCAGAACUUCCCGCUACAAACGCAUGCGAUACAGCAAACACAAACUAUUAACUAAUGAGACUGAUCUCUCUACAAAAAAAAAACAACAA
Megalobrama amblycephala (Wuchang bream) is the source of this 173-nucleotide long non-coding RNA. RefSeq lists it as uncharacterized. The record is from RefSeq and is a predicted model, not a curated record. NCBI's taxonomy places the organism in Eukaryota, Metazoa, Chordata, Actinopteri, Cypriniformes, Xenocyprididae. The transcript has 2 exons.